UCCAGAAACGUUCACGUGAAUAGACCUUUACGUCUACAUUCAUUUCUCUCCACAGCAUGACGUUGCUCAUAAAAAACCAAUUUUUUUAUUACAAUCACGGAUUAAGAGCCUCUAUUGACACAUAGAUAAUCCUCCCCUUUUUUUUCUUUCUUCUUCUAUACAACUCCAAAAGUCUCUCUCAUUCUGUCUCUCGCCAGUAAUCGAAUCAUAAUCAAACUCCCCUUCCUCUCCGCCCUACGACUCAACACUAAAGCACGCUGACUGUGCGUGAUGAAGAGUGUAUGCGUGUACGGUGACCGUGGGUGACGAGCUCGCGCGCAGAAAUCCGGUCUUUCGCCCAUCUCGCAUUCAUGACCGUUGAAUUUUGAUAAACAAACGAGAAUGGGUGUUGGCCUUAAACCGCUGGAAUUUACGGAUUGUUUAACCGACAGUCCGUACUUCCGCGAGAAUCUCCACUAUCACGAGCGAGAAUUGGAGAAGACCAGUCAGCAGAUUAAACGGCUCGUCAAAGAGGUCAAAGAUUUAUUGCUAGCCGCCAGGAACUUGUCUCGGGCUCAGAGAGCUUUUUCCAAAACAUUGCAAAACUUCAGUUUUGAAUGCAUCGGUGAAAGUCAGACUGAGGAUGAGACUCAUAUAUCUCAGAGCUUGAAAGAAUUUGGUAAACUUAUUGCAUCCAUAGAAGAUGAAAGGGAUCGCAUGUUGGAACGAGCAUUUGACCAGAUAAUAUUACCCUUAGAAAAUUUUAGAAAAGAACAUAUCGGUGGAGUUAAGGACGGUAAAAAGAAGUUCGAGAAGCAGACAAUUAAAUUUUGUCAAAGUCAAGAGCGUUAUUUGAACUUAUCUACGAAAAAACAAGAUAAUGUUUUGCAAGAGGCUGAUGCAACAUUGGAAAUGGCUGAAAGACACUUCUCUCAAGCUAGCUUAGAAUAUGUAUUUUUACUGCAAGAAGUUCAAGAGCGGAAAAAGUUUGAAUUUGUUGAAACGUUAUUGGGGUUUAUGUUCGGAUGGCUAACAUUUUAUCAUCAAGGUCAUGAAGUUGCGAAAGAUUUCAAACCUUAUAUGACAGAGCUGCAGUUGAAGAUUCAGAAGACUAGAGAGAAUUUCCUUGCUACCCGGGAUAAAACUGAAUCACUUAUGAAUAAAAUGAAGGACAUGAAAAAGUCUGCUGUAGAAAGUGGUCUCAAUAAAUUGCACUCGCGUGAAGGAUAUCUAUUCUUAAUGGAAAAAAAAGCAUUUGGUACAACAUGGACAAAACAAUAUUGCACAUAUCAAAAAGAUAGGAAGGAAUUUACUAUGAUACCUUACAAUCAACUCACAGGAAAAUUUAGCAGCAAGGAAACCUUUACACUAGCCUCUUGCGUACGACGUACAUCGGACACUAUUGAAAAAAGAUUUUGCUUUGAUAUUACUGCCGUCGAUAGACUUAACGUGGUAUACACAUUCCAAGCACUUUCUGAGGAGGAUAGGAAAUUAUGGAUGGAUGCUAUGGAUGGAAAGGAACCUUCUUAUCCACGAUUAGGUUCUUCCGCGAGACCAGAAGAUAUGACGUUAGCUGAAACCGGUUUUACAUUCGUAUCGAAGUGCAUCGCGGCGCUCGAAGAUAGAGGAUUAGAAGAACAAGGUCUAUAUAGAGUAGUUGGAGUUGCCUCCAAAGUGAACAAACUCUUGACCAUGGGUUUGGAUAAGCGAAAAGCGGACAAGCUCAAUUUAAGCGAUCGUUUCGAGUGGGAGAGUAAAACUAUUACCAGUGCGCUCAAGACUUACCUGAGAACAUUGUCCGAGCCGUUAAUGACCUUCCGAUAUUACAACAGCUUCAUUACAGCUGCGAAACAGGAGAUGAAGGAAACUCGGAUAAAUGAUAUACAUAGCCUCGUUUAUCGAUUGCCCAAAGCCAAUUUCAAUAUGCUGAUCCUUCUUAUUACUCAUCUUUGCACUGUGGCAAAGAAAAGCGAUAAAAACCUGAUGACUGUGGGAAAUCUGGCGGUAUGUUUCGGUCCAACUUUAUUACGACCAGAGGAGGAAACUGUAGCUUCUAUAAUGGACAUUAAAUUUUACAAUAUUGUUGUGGAAAUAUUGAUCGAGAAUUGUGAAAGAAUAGUAGCUGGACCACCCCAAGAUUCUUUGCGCGUAGCGGCAACGCAGCCUGCGUUACAAGCUAUUGCUGUACCAAAUAAAACGCAAUGUGUCAAGGAAGAAGGUCCAACCUCGUCGGGUAAUGGAAUGGCAUUUUUAAGAUAUCCAUUGCACACGGCAGUAACGGUUGCACCCACAUCGUCGCAUACGCACCUCGUUACAAGAUCUUAUUAUGAUGGCCAGCCUUUGACCGUUGUUAACAAGUCGCCCACUGUCGACGAGAGGAACAAUGGGGAUUAUGAAGAUCUCGAUAGUACGACCCAUCGUAUACCAUCGUAUUUGGACAGUCGCGGCGGUAACACCAGCAGCAGUCGCAUGAAAUUGACUAACGCGAACCUUAUGUAUCAUUCAGCUGACUAAAGUUCUAAGUGGUGGCAAUACGAGUAGCUCAAGCGAGUCAAUUGCAUCGGAUCCUCAUUCUUUUACAAGUGAGUUACCAGUGAAGCAUAAACGUGGCACAAUGAUAUCCGUGCACUAUCCUACAGCUUAUCCUCAGCGUAGUAACUCAUCGAUAUGUCCUAUCAACACUUCCCCCAAUAGUGGACGUUCGAGUCCUGGUCAAAUUCCAGGAAUUUGGAGAGUACGAACUUUAUACGCAUGCAUGGCGGAAAAUGAUGGCGAAUUAUCAUUUGAACCAAAUCAAAUUAUCACAAAUGUUAAGGCCUCUUUGGAACCAGGUUGGUUAGAAGGUACAUUAAACGGCAAAACAGGUUUAGUUCCGAAGAAUUAUGUGGAGCAACUGCCCUAAAUACUGCAACAAAAGAAAAAAACCAAAGAGCGUCGAAGAAAAUAUAGGUAAUUUUAUCA
Molecule: unclassified non-coding RNA, 2940 nt
Organism: Pogonomyrmex barbatus (red harvester ant)
Lineage: Eukaryota; Metazoa; Arthropoda; Insecta; Hymenoptera; Formicidae
Source: RefSeq, a predicted model, not a curated record